UACAGAGGGUGCGAGCGUUAAUCGGAAUUACUGGGCGUAAAGCGCGCGUAGGCGGCUUUUCAAGUCGAUUGUGAAAUCCCCGGGCUUAACCUGGGAACUGCAGUCGAGACUGUCUAGCUAGAGUAUGGGAGAGGGAAGUGGAAUUUCAGGUGUAGCGGUGAAAUGCGCAGAUAUCAGGAGGAACACCGGUGGCGAAGGCGGAUCUCUGGGCCAUUACUGACGCUGAGGAGCGAAAGCGUGGGGAGCGAACAGG
RNAcentral lists this ribosomal RNA (253 nucleotides) under uncultured bacterium. Its description in RNAcentral is "partial 16S ribosomal RNA". It matches the Rfam family "Bacterial small subunit ribosomal RNA", at positions 524 to 776 of the family's 1533-position model. The record is from RNAcentral.